Cynocephalus volans (Philippine flying lemur) is the source of this 69-nucleotide small nucleolar RNA. RefSeq annotates it as small nucleolar RNA SNORD2. NCBI's taxonomy places the organism in Eukaryota, Metazoa, Chordata, Mammalia, Dermoptera, Cynocephalidae. The record is from RefSeq and is a predicted model, not a curated record. The transcript has a single exon.
UUGGGAAAUGAUGGCGGUCAUCUUUCAGAACUGACCUGAAAUGAAGGGAAUACUCUCUGCUGAUCACUU